GGAGGGACAAUGGUACCACAGCCGCCUGUCCAUGCAAAGCAUGUGAUGAGAGAGACUGUAUAAAAGGGCCACUGGCCGACAAAAAAACUACCCAAUUUGGACCGACCCUAUAACACCUACUAUAACCAACCACGGAGCCAAGAUGAGUCGAGGUGCCCAUAUUCCUCUUUCUGGCCGCAACAGGAUUCCAUACUGCUCUCGCUGCAUCCCUGGAAUCAGCAGAAAAAAAGGACACAUUUGCAGAGGAUGUGGGGCUGGAGCAGCUAAGUGACCUGCAAAGGAGAGAUCCUGAGGAGUUCGAAGCAGCGCAAAUGAAUGAGGAUGCACAUAGUGCAGAUGUGUGCUACUUGGAGCCUGUUCAAGAUGAAAAUACUGAGCAGAAUUCCACUCAGGAGGAGGACAUGGCAGACAGAGACAGAAACGUUGAUGCAGACCAUGAGGAGUCCGAGUCUGAUGAGGAUGUAGAUGCUGAGGUGGAGUGAGCCUGCAGGAGGCCUAGCCUGCAGACCCAUUACAGAACCCGAGGAACACUGCAGCGGAAGUUUACUGUCAAUAAAGAGAAACAUCUUAACAUUC
Long non-coding RNA from Oncorhynchus masou masou (cherry salmon), 576 nucleotides. RefSeq lists it as uncharacterized. Lineage: Eukaryota; Metazoa; Chordata; Actinopteri; Salmoniformes; Salmonidae. The transcript has 10 exons. The record is from RefSeq and is a predicted model, not a curated record.